CCUACGGGUGGCUGCAGUGGGGAAUAUUGGACAAUGGGGGGAACCCUGAUCCAGCCAUGCCGCGUGUGUGAAGAAGGCCCUCGGGUUGUAAAGCACUUUCAGUGAGGAAGAACGCCUGGUGGUUAAUACCCAUCAGGAAAGACAUCACUCACAGAAGAAGCACCGGCUAACUCCGUGCCAGCAGCCGCGGUAAUACGGAGGGUGCGAGCGUUAAUCGGAAUUACUGGGCGUAAAGCGCGCGUAGGUGGCUCGAUAAGCCGGUUGUGAAAGCCCCGGGCUCAACCUGGGAACGGCAUCCGGAACUGUCAAGCUAGAGUGCAGGAGAGGAAGGUAGAAUUCCCGGUGUAGCGGUGAAAUGCGUAGAGAUCGGGAGGAAUACCAGUGGCGAAGGCGGCCUUCUGGACUGACACUGACACUGAGGUGCGAAAGCGUGGGUAGCAAACAGGAUUAGAUACCCCAGUAGUC
RNAcentral lists this ribosomal RNA (465 nucleotides) under Vreelandella stevensii. RNAcentral describes it as "partial 16S ribosomal RNA". It matches the Rfam family "Bacterial small subunit ribosomal RNA", at positions 338 to 795 of the family's 1533-position model. The record is from RNAcentral. Lineage: Bacteria; Pseudomonadati; Pseudomonadota; Gammaproteobacteria; Oceanospirillales; Halomonadaceae.